This 2199-nucleotide ribosomal RNA is filed under the name Salmonella enterica subsp. enterica serovar Thompson. RNAcentral's name for it is "partial 23S ribosomal RNA". It matches the Rfam family "Bacterial large subunit ribosomal RNA", at positions 711 to 2885 of the family's 2925-position model. The record is from RNAcentral. Lineage: Bacteria; Pseudomonadati; Pseudomonadota; Gammaproteobacteria; Enterobacterales; Enterobacteriaceae. RNAcentral also lists the same sequence under 1 other name.
AGACCCGAAACCCGGUGAUCUAGCCAUGGGCAGGUUGAAGGUUGGGUAACACUAACUGGAGGACCGAACCGACUAAUGUUGAAAAAUUAGCGGAUGACCUGUGGCUGGGGGUGAAAGGCCAAUCAAACCGGGAGAUAGCUGGUUCUCCCCGAAAGCUAUUUAGGUAGCGCCUCGUGAAUUCAUCUCCGGGGGUAGAGCACUGUUUCGGCUAGGGGGCCAUCCCGGCUUACCAACCCGAUGCAAACUGCGAAUACCGGAGAAUGUUAUCACGGGAGACACACGGCGGGUGCUAACGUCCGUCGUGAAGAGGGAAACAACCCAGACCGCCAGCUAAGGUCCCAAAGUCAUGGUUAAGUGGGAAACGAUGUGGGAAGGCCCAGACAGCCAGGAUGUUGGCUUAGAAGCAGCCAUCAUUUAAAGAAAGCGUAAUAGCUCACUGGUCGAGUCGGCCUGCGCGGAAGAUGUAACGGGGCUAAACCAUGCACCGAAGCUGCGGCAGCGACACUCAGGUGUUGUUGGGUAGGGGAGCGUUCUGUAAGCCUGUGAAGGUGUGUCGUGAGGCAUGCUGGAGGUAUCAGAAGUGCGAAUGCUGACAUAAGUAACGAUAAAGCGGGUGAAAAGCCCGCUCGCCGGAAGACCAAGGGUUCCUGUCCAACGUUAAUCGGGGCAGGGUGAGUCGACCCCUAAGGCGAGGCCGAAAGGCGUAGUCGAUGGGAAACGGGUUAAUAUUCCCGUACUUGGUGUUACUGCGAAGGGGGGACGGAGAAGGCUAUGUUGGCCGGGCGACGGUUGUCCCGGUUUAAGCGUGUAGGUGUGUGUUCCAGGUAAAUCCGGUUCACUUUAACACUGAGGCGUGAUGACGAGGCACUACGGUGCUGAAGCAACAAAUGCCCUGCUUCCAGGAAAAGCCUCUAAGCAUCAGGUAACAUCAAAUCGUACCCCAAACCGACACAGGUGGUCAGGUAGAGAAUACCAAGGCGCUUGAGAGAACUCGGGUGAAGGAACUAGGCAAAAUGGUGCCGUAACUUCGGGAGAAGGCACGCUGACACGUAGGUGAAGUGAUUUACUCAUGGAGCUGAAGUCAGUCGAAGAUACCAGCUGGCUGCAACUGUUUAUUAAAAACACAGCACUGUGCAAACACGAAAGUGGACGUAUACGGUGUGACGCCUGCCCGGUGCCGGAAGGUUAAUUGAUGGGGUCAGCGCAAGCGAAGCUCCUGAUCGAAGCCCCGGUAAACGGCGGCCGUAACUAUAACGGUCCUAAGGUAGCGAAAUUCCUUGUCGGGUAAGUUCCGACCUGCACGAAUGGCGUAAUGAUGGCCAGGCUGUCUCCACCCGAGACUCAGUGAAAUUGAACUCGCUGUGAAGAUGCAGUGUACCCGCGGCAAGACGGAAAGACCCCGUGAACCUUUACUAUAGCUUGACACUGAACAUUGAGCCUUGAUGUGUAGGAUAGGUGGGAGGCUUUGAAGCGUGGACGCCAGUCUGCGUGGAGCCGACCUUGAAAUACCACCCUUUAAUGUUUGAUGUUCUAACGUGGACCCGUGAUCCGGGUUGCGGACAGUGUCUGGUGGGUAGUUUGACUGGGGCGGUCUCCUCCUAAAGAGUAACGGAGGAGCACGAAGGUUGGCUAAUCCUGGUCGGACAUCAGGAGGUUAGUGCAAUGGCAUAAGCCAGCUUGACUGCGAGCGUGACGGCGCGAGCAGGUGCGAAAGCAGGUCAUAGUGAUCCGGUGGUUCUGAAUGGAAGGGCCAUCGCUCAACGGAUAAAAGGUACUCCGGGGAUAACAGGCUGAUACCGCCCAAGAGUUCAUAUCGACGGCGGUGUUUGGCACCUCGAUGUCGGCUCAUCACAUCCUGGGGCUGAAGUAGGUCCCAAGGGUAUGGCUGUUCGCCAUUUAAAGUGGUACGCGAGCUGGGUUUAGAACGUCGUGAGACAGUUCGGUCCCUAUCUGCCGUGGGCGCUGGAGAACUGAGGGGGGCUGCUCCUAGUACGAGAGGACCGGAGUGGACGCAUCACUGGUGUUCGGGUUGUCAUGCCAAUGGCACUGCCCGGUAGCUAAAUGCGGAAGAGAUAAGUGCUGAAAGCAUCUAAGCACGAAACUUGCCCCGAGAUGAGUUCUCCCUGAGACUUAGAGUCUCCUGAAGGAACGUUGAAGACGACGACGUUGAUAGGCCGGGUGUGUAAGCGCAGCGAUGCG